CAAAAGCCAGAAUUAAACACAGUUCCUCUAAUCCUUUUCCAGAGUCGAUCCUUUCAGUGCCAUUUGAAUUUCAACAAGAAACAAAGCGACAGGCAUUCAUCUGGAGAAUUCAAGAGGAGGAGAGUAAACCUUCCUUCCGCCACUGAACAGAACUGAUGUUGAAGAGACAGGACGGGGCAAGUUAGAAGAAAUCAACUCAGGGCAAAUUCACCGGAACAUUGUUUUACAGAGUAGAUUCCCAGACGACACCAAAAGAGCUGAAAUCUGAAGGGCCCCCCCCCCCCGUCACGGAGCCCUGACUUGGGAGGUGGGCGACGACGGUGGAACCCACAGCGCUCUUGGUGUUGACAACAGCGUACUAGGACGCUCUAGGAAAAGC
RNAcentral lists this long non-coding RNA (379 nucleotides) under Fukomys damarensis (Damara mole-rat). RNAcentral describes it as "lncRNA (ENSFDAG00000031735.1)". The record is from RNAcentral. Lineage: Eukaryota; Metazoa; Chordata; Mammalia; Rodentia; Bathyergidae.